AUACGGAGGGCGCAAGCGUUGCCCGGAAUCACUGGGUGUAAAGGGUGCGUAGGCGGGGCUGUAAGUCAGAGGUGAAAGCCCUCGGCUCAACCGGGGAAUUGCCUCUGAUACUGCAGCUCUUGAGUCCCGGAGAGGCCGCUGGAAUUCCUGGUGUAGCGGUGAAAUGCGUAGAUAUCAGGAGGAACACCGGAGGCGAAGGCGGGCGGCUGGACGGGGACUGACGCUGAGGCACGAAAGCGUGGGGAGCAAACAGGAUUAGAAACCCCAGUAGUCC
Molecule: ribosomal RNA, 274 nt
Filed under: uncultured bacterium
Lineage: Bacteria
Description: partial 16S ribosomal RNA
Rfam family: Bacterial small subunit ribosomal RNA
Source: RNAcentral